GACGAACGCUGGCGGCGUGCUUAACACAUGCAAGUCGAGCGGAAAGGCCACUUUGUGGUACUCGAGCGGCGAACGGGUGAGUAACACGUGAGUAAUCUGCCCUUGGCUUUGGGAUAGCCACCGGAAACGGUGAUUAAUACCGGAUAUGACCAUUCUUCGCAUGUUGGGUGGUGGAAAGUUUUUCGGCCAGGGAUGUGCUCGCGGCCUAUCAGCUUGAUGGUGAGGUAAUGGCUCACCAUGGCUUCGACGGGUAGCCGGCCUGAGAGGGUGACCGGUCACACUGGGACUGAGACACGGCCCAGACUCCUACGGGAGGCAGCAGUGGGGAAUAUUGGACAAUGGGCGGAAGCCUGAUCCAGCAACGCCGCGUGAGGGAUGACGGCCUUCGGGUUGUAAACCUCUUUCGCCUGUGACGAAGCGCAAGUGACGGUAACAGGUAAAGAAGCACCGGCCAACUACGUGCCAGCAGCCGCGGUAAUACGUAGGGUGCGAGCGUUGUCCGGAAUUAUUGGGCGUAAAGGGCUCGUAGGCGGUUUGUCGCGUCGGGAGUGAAAACGCCGUGCUUAACACGGCGCUUGCUUUCGAUACGGGCAGACUAGAGGUAUUCAGGGGAGAACGGAAUUCCUGGUGUAGCGGUGAAAUGCGCAGAUAUCAGGAGGAACACCGGUGGCGAAGGCGGUUCUCUGGGAAUGACCUGACGCUGAGGAGCGAAAGUGUGGGGAGCGAACAGGAUUAGAUACCCUGGUAGUCCACACCGUAAACGUUGGGCGCUAGGUGUGGGGUCCAUUCCACGGAUUCCGUGCCGCAGCUAACGCAUUAAGCGCCCCGCCUGGGGAGUACGGCCGCAAGGCUAAAACUCAAAGGAAUUGACGGGGGCCCGCACAAGCGGCGGAGCAUGCGGAUUAAUUCGAUGCGACGCGAAGAACCUUACCUGGGUUUGACAUACACCCUGCCGCUCCAGAGAUGGGGCUUCUUUUGGGGGUGUACAGGUGGUGCAUGGCUGUCGUCAGCUCGUGUCGUGAGAUGUUGGGUUAAGUCCCGCAACGAGCGCAACCCUCGUUCUAUGUUGCCAGCACGUCCUUUCGGGGAUGGUGGGGACUCAUAGGAGACUGCCGGGGUCAACUCGGAGGAAGGUGGGGAUGACGUCAAGUCAUCAUGCCCCUUAUGUCCAGGGCUUCACGCAUGCUACAAUGGCCGGUACAAAGGGCUGCGAUCCCGUGAGGGGGAGCGAAUCCCAAAAAGCCGGUCUCAGUUCGGAUUGGGGUCUGCAACUCGACCCCAUGAAGUCGGAGUCGCUAGUAAUCGCAGGUCAGCAACGCUGCGGUGAAUACGUUCCCGGGCCU
Molecule: ribosomal RNA, 1343 nt
Filed under: uncultured bacterium
Lineage: Bacteria
Description: bacterial SSU rRNA
Rfam family: Bacterial small subunit ribosomal RNA
Source: RNAcentral